UUACUCCUCCCACAAAUUCAGGCCUAAUGGCCUUUCUACAUAUAUAUAUAUAUAUAUAUAUAUAUAUAUAUAUAUAUAUAUAUAUAUAUAUAAAUAUAUGUAUUAAGGCAGUUUUGCCUGUAUUUGUGGGAGGGGCUU
Molecule: non-coding RNA, 138 nt
Organism: Pelobates cultripes (western spadefoot toad)
Lineage: Eukaryota; Metazoa; Chordata; Amphibia; Anura; Pelobatidae
Source: the annotation of a GenBank genome assembly